AUGAAGCAGGAGGGCUCUAUCUUCAACACCGCCGUCUCCCCUCAUUACCACGCCAUUGCAUCCACGGACCAUCGCUGCACGGCUCCGUACAAGCGCGGCAGCCGGGGCCGUUGCAUCUUCGACGUCAAGUACCAGUACCACGGCUCAAGCGCGCAGGGCUUCCUUAGCACCGACAACUUCGUCUUCGACGGCAGCGGCCCCGGCAGCCCCAUCAGCAGUGUGGACGGCCUUGUCUUCGGCUGCGCGCACUCCACGCACCAGUUCGGCAACCACGGCGUCUGGGCCGGCGUAAUGAGCCUCGACAGGCACCCGACCUCCUUGAUCCGGCAGCUCUCGGACCGCGGCCUCACCGCCUCGCGCUUCUCCUACUGCCUCGUCGGCAAGGAGCACGAGCACCUCCACCGGCGUGGCUUCCUCCGGUUCGGCGCCGACAUCCCGGACCAAUCGCACGCACGGAGCACGGCGCUGCUGCACCGGGAACUCGCCCAAGGAGGGGGCAUGUACUACGUCCACCUCGUCGGCAUCAGCCUGGGCGGGCGAAGGCUCACGGCGAUCACGCCGGCGAUGUUCGAACGCGACCCGCGCACCCUCCGCGGCGGGUGCACCAUCGACGUUGGGACGGCGUACACCGUGCUGGCCCCGGCCGCGUACCAUGUCCUGGCGGCCGAGGUCGUGGCGCACAUGCAGAGCCGCGGGGUGCACUGCGCGCCCGGGCCGGUGCAGAAUUUCGAGCUCUGCUUCCGCGGGGCAUGUGACAGUAUCCGCGCGCACUUCCCGAGCGUGACGCUCCACUUCUACCCGGAAUCGGCCGCGCUCUUUAUCAAGCCGGAGCUGCUGUUCAUGGCAGUGACGCAUCAGCAUACCCACUACGCGUGUUUCACCGUCGCGUCGUACGCUGAGAGGUCAGUGAUAGGCGCGGGGCAUAUGUUGGACACGCGCUUCACGUUUGACCUCCAACACGACCGGCUCUUCUUUGCUCCCGAGGAUUGCCAUCUAGACACUAGCGCAGUGGGGAUGACCUAA
Molecule: ribosomal RNA, 1023 nt
Filed under: Triticum aestivum (bread wheat)
Lineage: Eukaryota; Viridiplantae; Streptophyta; Magnoliopsida; Poales; Poaceae
Description: partial small subunit ribosomal RNA
Source: RNAcentral